CCUACGGGAGGCAGCAGUGGGGAAUAUUGCACAAUGGGCGAAAGCCUGAUGCAGCGACGCCGCGUGAGGGAUGACGGCCUUCGGGUUGUAAACCUCUUUCAGUAGGGAAGAAGCGUAAGUGACGGUACCUGCAGAAGAAGCGCCGGCUAACUACGUGCCAGCAGCCGCGGUAAUACGUAGGGCGCAAGCGUUAUCCGGAAUUAUUGGGCGUAAAGAGCUCGUAGGCGGUUUGUCGCGUCUGCCGUGAAAGUCCGGGGCUCAACUCCGGAUCUGCGGUGGGUACGGGCAGACUAGAGUGAUGUAGGGGAGACUGGAAUUCCUGGUGUAGCGGUGAAAUGCGCAGAUAUCAGGAGGAACACCGAUGGCGAAGGCAGGUCUCUGGGCAUUAACUGACGCUGAGGAGCGAAAGCAUGGGGAGCGAACAGGAUUAGAUACCCUGGUAGUCCAUGCCGUAAACGUUGGGCACUAGGUGUGGGGGACAUUCCACGUUUUCCGCGCCGUAGCUAACGCAUUAAGUGCCCCGCCUGGGGAGUACGGCCGCAAGGCUAAAACUCAAAGGAAUUGACGGCUGAGACGNGCGACGACGACGACGAGGGAGAGG
Molecule: ribosomal RNA, 601 nt
Filed under: uncultured bacterium
Lineage: Bacteria
Description: bacterial SSU rRNA
Rfam family: Bacterial small subunit ribosomal RNA
Source: RNAcentral